Sarcophilus harrisii (Tasmanian devil) is the source of this 1067-nucleotide long non-coding RNA. RefSeq lists it as uncharacterized. Lineage: Eukaryota; Metazoa; Chordata; Mammalia; Dasyuromorphia; Dasyuridae. The record is from RefSeq and is a predicted model, not a curated record. The transcript is spliced from 4 exons.
GAAAAGCUGUGUGGCAGUUUACCUGCCUCCUUCACUUUUCCCCAUAAAGAUGAAGGACUUUAAUUUGUCUUGACUCUGGCUGACCCUGAAGCCCUCGAAGGAACUAGCUAAUACUUUACAGCCUUUAUCACAAACAAUGAUGAAAAAAGUAAGAACUUUGCUAUUUUCAUGUGAAGAGUACGCUUCUUUCCCUAAAGAAGCAUUCUGGCCCUGAAUACUGCACUAAUAUUUACAGCAGAAUAACUCAGCCAGAAGGAGACAAACAACUGUCUCAUUCUACAAUUGGAGAGUCAGAAAAAAAGUUAGAACCCCUUUUGAGAUAAAAGAGAAAUACAUUUCACACAGGCAAGAAUACAAAAAGACACAAAUUUGAUUUCAGACAGAAGAAUGAUUUAAACAUUCAAACAAAACAAAAUAAAACAACAAAAAAAGAGAGAACAUGGAAGAAAAUGAAUCAGAGUCAGAAUGAAUUACAGGCACAGGAAACAGCAGGAGAUGUUCAACAAAGUCUCCUUCUCUGCAGACAAGGUCAAAAAUUUUCCAUCUUACUUCUGCACAAGCAGCAGUGUAUCCUAACACUCUCAGAAAACCUGCAGUUCGGUCUCACCCUCACCCAAGCUGGGAAUCUUUCUGAGUAACUUCUCAGAAGUCUCUGCCUCUUCAAACAAAAAGAUAAACCUUAAAAUCAUCAAAAAUAUAAUUCAGCUCAGGCUCAACUCACCAACUCCUGGAAGAUAUGGAAAGUUUCAAAGCAGACUCCCCACCUGGACUAGGCCCUUCUUAUGCAAAACUACUGAUGAUUCUUAAGCAUUUAGGUCUGUCAACCUAGAUAGACAAUACAAGUCGCCAGAAUGCCAAGUUAUCCUUUGAAUGUGGAAAUAAAAUGUUUUCCCUUUAAGUGAGCUUUCAUAAGACAAGCAAAAAAACAAAAACAAACAAAAUGCACACAUUUUUUUCUUAAUAAGUUUCAGUGAUAAUUUCUCCAUCAUAGUUUUUUUGUUCUUAAAAAAUGCUAUUCUAUGACAAACCUUAUGAAUUGAAAUAAUCAAUAAAAUAAUCAUUUUUCC